CACAGACACAGCAAUUCAGCUCAGUCAUCUGUGCUCCUGCUCCUUAACUGACAGUGACGGAGGCAUCCUGGACCAAAAGAACAACAGCGCAGCGUGACAGAGGGAAAUCAGAAGACUGUCAACAACACACGGGGAGAAAGUAGCCUCGACACGGCCCUGUUUGACUACACGUCACGGCUGUUUGACUCAGACACUCAGACAGAGAUGGAUAUGGUAAUGUUUGUUGAGUCAGACUCUCAACUUCUCAGUCUUUCUUCUGGAUCAGGCUGAUUUGGGGUGGAGUGACAAGGCUUCAAAGGCAGCCGGGAGCUCACCAAGGCUCAUUUGGGCUCCCCUACGCCAGGCCACAGUCCUGUAGACAUGCCAGGGUUUUUAUAACCCCGUUCGGAGCUACAUAUCUGCGUAAUAAGAUGUGCGAGAGAAGAAGACCGGCUCUCCUGUUGAAAUCCGGCUACUGUAGGAGAGGGGUCAGCGUCCCAUCCUCCUUGGGAACUGCAUCGCAUGGUUAACAUGAAAACAAAUGACUGCGGUCGGCCGGAGGAUGUUUGACAAGCAGCAGUGAAUAACCACAGCAAGGCUGAAGAUAUUCUUGGCCGCCAGCAUCGUGAGAAAAUGUGGCUAAGCUCAGAAAUAUUCUGGGGGAAGACCAAAAUCUGGAAGCAAUUAAGAAAGACCCAAAAUAAGUAAAUUCCAUAUUACCUCUGUGGACAUUGUAGAAGGGUGGCUGGCGAAAUGUAUUUUUUUUUGUGAGGUUUACUUUCUGGAGCUUAGCAACAUAAAUUUGUUGUCACUGAACUAUUAAACACAGCGGACACAUGUUGGCGGAGUUCGAAGGAAAGGUGCAUGAAACUGAUCAUAGGAUAGCCCAUGUAAUAAUAUAGGAAAUGGGCCCGCUGUUGGACUUCAAUAUCCCCCGACAACACUCAGCUGUCAAUGGCCUCCACCAUGGCCAGGAUGCAUGGCGGCUUCUGCCAGAAACACAGGAUUUAUCCUCCUUCACAUGGAGCCAGUGAGAGGAAAUGCCUACAGUCAGUGGGAAUCCAUAAAGGAGGGACGGGAGAGAGAAAAAAUAAGAUUAAGGGAAUGAGAACGAGAAUGAGUGGAAAUGGAAAAAGUCGUGGGAGGAAGGCAUGGGAUGAGAUACAGGUUAUUCUCUGUGCUUUUAAAAACAUAACUAACAUCCUUCAGGUGCUGAUAGAAGAGACAAAGGCUAUCUGGGAAUUUCACUUCUCAACUUUGGAACUGGAACGGUGAUUUAAAACCGGGUCAGAUUUCAUACAAUAACAUGCACACACCUGGUUAACACGUUAGCUCAUACUUAACAGUUGUAAAUCUGGAGUUUUAUAGAUACAUGGCAAGAUUAUUUAUUACAAUUUGCCAUCAAUAGGAACAGCACAAAGAUAUGAAACACUGUGUGAGUCUUCAGAAAAACCAUACAUACUCUCUUUUUUGUCCGUUUCGAGCUAGUCUGAGAGAGUGCUUGGUAACUAGAUAUUUCCUCGUACCUAUGGGAGAGAAAACUCAGAGACAAAAAGAUCAAAUUAUGAAUUUCCUACUCUCUUUUUUGGCUUUUUCCUUCAAAAACUCUAAAAUUGCUCAGCUGUGGCUCAUGUUUGAGCAAUAAUUGGUUCUAAUCCUACCCCAACAUAAACACUGUAUACGUUUACAAUUGACUUGAACUUGAGCAUUAGCUGCAAUAAAUCAGCAACCAAAUGCAUAUUGCAGCGCCAAGCUCUCAGCACUGGCGUAGCAGAAUAAAGCUUUGCGUUAUGCAUAACAGCAUCUUUUAACCAUGGUAAAUCCACUGUAACAUAGGCCUCUUGUGGCUUAUUUGUAAUGUAAAAUGGCUGGAAUGGCAAUAGGAUUAAAAAAAAGUUACUACAUUUAAAUUUUUUUCUGAAGAAAACUAGCAUGAAACUUAUCCAUUGAAAAGUUCUCGCCAUAAUGUAAUAUUGUGCAUUGCUAUGCAGUUGCCAGAGUUGCUGCUUUCUGGAAGAGCACAUGCAUAUUUUUU
Cyprinus carpio carpio is the source of this 2014-nucleotide long non-coding RNA. The record is from Ensembl. Lineage: Eukaryota; Metazoa; Chordata; Actinopteri; Cypriniformes; Cyprinidae.